UGGGGAAUAUUUCACAAUGGACGGAAGUCUGAUGCAGCAACGCCGCGUGCGGGAUGACGGCCUUCGGGUUGUAAACCGCUUUUUCUCAUGACGAAGUUUUUUGACGGUAGUGGGGGAAGAAGCACCGGCUAACUACGUGCCAGCAGCCGCGGUGAUACGUAGGGUGCGAGCGUUGUCCGGAAUUAUUGGGCGUAAAGAGCUUGUAGGCGGUUUGUCGCGUCGAUAGUGCAAACUCAGUGCUUAACGCUGAGCCUGCUGUUGAUACGGGCAGACUAGAGGAAGGUAGGGGAGAAUGGAAUUCCCGGUGGAGCGGUGGAAUGCGCAGAUAUCGGGAGGAACACCGGUGGCGAAGGCGGUUCUCUGGGCCUUUCCUGACGCUGAGAAGCGAAAGCGUGGGGAGCGAACAGG
RNAcentral lists this ribosomal RNA (408 nucleotides) under Fusobacteriota bacterium. RNAcentral's name for it is "Fusobacteria bacterium partial 16S ribosomal RNA". It matches the Rfam family "Bacterial small subunit ribosomal RNA", at positions 355 to 776 of the family's 1533-position model. The record is from RNAcentral. Lineage: Bacteria; Fusobacteriati; Fusobacteriota.